Molecule: ribosomal RNA, 507 nt
Filed under: uncultured bacterium
Lineage: Bacteria
Description: bacterial SSU rRNA
Rfam family: Bacterial small subunit ribosomal RNA
Source: RNAcentral
GACGAACGCUGGCGGCGUGGAUUAGGCAUGCAAGUCGAACGGUAUCAUCCUUUCGGGGGUGAGAGAGUGGCGAACUGGUGAGUAACACGUAGGUUAUCUACCCUCAAGACGGGGACAACCCAGGGAAACUUGGGCUAAUACCGGAUGUGAGCAACUUUUAGUUGUUUGAAAGGUGGCGUAAGCUGUCGCUUGGGGAUGAGCCUGCGUCCUAUUAGUUAGUUGGUGAGGUAACGGCUCACCUAGGCAAUGAUAGGUAGGCGGCCUUAACGGGUGGUCGCCCACACUGGGAUUGAGAUACGGCCCAGACUCCUACGGGAGGCAGCAGUCGAGAAUAGUCUACAAUGGUCGGAAGACUGAUAGUGCGACGCCGCGUGAACGAUGAAUCCCUUCGGGGUUAAAGUUCUUUUAUAUGUGAGCAGUGCUUCUUAUAUUAACAGUAUGGGGAAGAGAUAUUAGCAAUAUGAAUAAGCAACGGCUAACUCCGUGCCAGCAGCCGCGGUAAGCUCG